This 21-nucleotide microRNA is filed under the name Pan troglodytes (chimpanzee). Its description in RNAcentral is "ptr-miR-1206". The record is from miRBase by way of RNAcentral. RNAcentral also lists the same sequence under 1 other name. Lineage: Eukaryota; Metazoa; Chordata; Mammalia; Primates; Hominidae.
UGUUCAUGUAGAUGUUUAAGC